AAAGUCGUAACAAGGUCUCCGUAGGUGAACCUGCGGAGGGAUCAUUCACAUGAUUUACUUUAUAUACAAACUGUGAACUUUAUUUUAUACUAUUCGUGUUUUUUUAACAUUGGUUACUCUCUGUUAGAAAAACAUUGUCAUUCGAUUGAACAUAAGAUAGUUGGCUUGAUUUUUGAUUUAUUCAAAAUUUCUUUCUCAGCUUUGAUUUGAUAUUACUAAACAUUUUAUCAAUCAACCAUAAAACAUAGAAACAACUCUAUGCCCUGGAUAUCUUGGUUCUC
Molecule: unclassified non-coding RNA, 281 nt
Filed under: Ascomycota sp.
Lineage: Eukaryota; Fungi; Ascomycota
Description: partial contains small subunit ribosomal RNA, internal transcribed spacer 1, and 5.8S ribosomal RNA
Rfam family: Eukaryotic small subunit ribosomal RNA (bases 1-47)
Source: RNAcentral